Molecule: RNA transcript, 1180 nt
Organism: Andrographis paniculata
Lineage: Eukaryota; Viridiplantae; Streptophyta; Magnoliopsida; Lamiales; Acanthaceae
Gene name: DCC family protein At1g52590, chloroplastic
Exons: 10
Source: RefSeq, a predicted model, not a curated record
UUAUUAAUUUUUUUCCCCUUACUAUACUGGUUCAGUCUUCAGCUUCUUUUCACGUUUCAGUUCAUCAAUGGCGUUCAACCUCCCGAUCACGUAUUCGCAGCUUCCGGCGCACGUUAGCACUUUCGGCCGACGUCUGACUGUUUCCGCUACUGCGGUGUCUCGUACAAAUGCAGAGGCUGUGGACUGGGUGAAGGAAACUGCGAGCUUCUUCGAGCGGGAUGCUCGCCCUAUCAUGUUAUUUGACGGUGUAUGCAAUUUAUGCAAUGGAGGCGUGAAGUUUGUCCGUGACCACGAUAAGCGAAGGAAUAUUAGAUUUGAAGCCCUACAAAGUGAAGCAGGCAAGAAACUGUUGCAGAGAUCUGGAAGAGCGCCUGAUGAUAUAUCGAGCGUAGUUCUUGUGGAAAAAGAUAGGUCUUAUAUAAAGUCAGAAGCUGUACUAAAGAUUAUGGAAUACAUAGAUUUGCCCUUCCCUCAGCUGGCAUUGUUUCUGCAAUUCAUUCCACUAUUCAUCCGAAAUUUUGUGUAUGAGAAUGUUGCAGAUAACAGAUACAACAUUUUUGGCCGAUCAGAUUAUUGUGAUCUAUAGGAAGGAGUCGAACAAUUGACUAGCGGGCUUGAUGUAUGGGCAAUUGUUCCAAUGGUGUUGAUGCACUCUGCAGUGGCUGAACAUUUUGGAUCGGCUGAUUUUAUAUUUACAUCUUCGAGUUGGAUGUUGGUGCAAGUUUCUGUGAAGUUUAAGUUGGUAAAGUUGAUGUUCCUAGCAAAACCCGAGCCUCCCUACAGGACAACAUUGAGACAACACUGGACCUUGAAAUUCAGCCUGAGAGAUCAAAAAGGACUUCCCACUAGGUACUGCAACUGUAGGAGUACCCGUGUUACUACAAGCUGCUUCCCAUGCCGAUAAAAAUGCCUGUAUUUUGUUUGGUAAUCAGAAGUCCACCCAUCAAUUCUUAGCGUGGCUGUUGAUGACAAGCCGGGCUUCCCAUCUCCAAUGGUUAUUUCAGACAUUGACCAAUACAAGAUUGGAAGAUACACCAGGGUCAGGGUCAUUACGACAAGUGUUGUCAGGCCACCAGGUGGAACCCUGGCCGUCGAUCACUCCCUUACCCUUCAUCACCAAACCAUUGAUGCCGAAAAAUUGGAUCCAGGCAUCUGGACUCCCCUUCCAUUCUCUUUUCAC